GAUGAACGCUGGCGGCGUGCCUAAUACAUGCAAGUCGAGCGAACAGACGAGGAGCUUGCUCCUCUGACGUUAGCGGCGGACGGGUGAGUAACACGUGGAUAACCUACCUAUAAGACUGGGAUCACUUCGGGAAACCGGAGCUAAUACCGGAUAAUAUAUUGAACCGCAUGGUUCAAUAGUGAAAGACGGUUUUGCUGUCACUUAUAGAUGGAUCCGCGCCGCAUUAGCUAGUUGGUAAGGUAACGGCUUACCAAGGCAACGAUGCGUAGCCGACCUGAGAGGGGGAUAGGCCACACUGGAACUGAGACACGGUCCAGACGCCUACGGGAGGCCGCAGUAGGGAAUCUUCCGCAAUGGGCGAAAGCUUGACGGAGCAACGCCGCGUGAGUGAUGAAGGUCUUCGGAGCGUAAAACUCUGUUAUUAGUGAAAAACAAAUGUGUAAGUAACUAUGCACGUCGUGACGGUACCUAAUCAGAAAGCCACGGCUAACUACGUG
RNAcentral lists this ribosomal RNA (497 nucleotides) under uncultured bacterium. RNAcentral describes it as "partial 16S ribosomal RNA". It matches the Rfam family "Bacterial small subunit ribosomal RNA", at positions 28 to 507 of the family's 1533-position model. The record is from RNAcentral.